This is a long non-coding RNA of Rhinolophus ferrumequinum (greater horseshoe bat), 370 nucleotides long. RefSeq lists it as uncharacterized. NCBI's taxonomy places the organism in Eukaryota, Metazoa, Chordata, Mammalia, Chiroptera, Rhinolophidae. The transcript is spliced from 3 exons. The record is from RefSeq and is a predicted model, not a curated record.
CCGCCGCCGCCGCCGCCGCCGCCGCCUGUGAUGGAAGAUUGGUAUUACAUGACAAACAGCCAUUUGCGUGUUUAUUUACACCCCCACCUCCAUGACUCAGACACAGGGCUGCGUGGCACCCAGCGCCAAACAACCCUGCCUUACAGUUUGGAGAAACAGCAAAGGGGAAGGAAGGAAUAUUUGCAAGUUUUGCCGGAGCCUGUUCUAAGCCGCUUCGUUUCCCCUGAAGCCCGAGCCUCGCCGCUGUGGGCCUGAAGGCGAGAAGCCUCCGCGGUGGGGUGGCUGUGGAUGGGGGCUGUGAACCCGCAGAGGGUGUUACCACUAGAGUCUAGUUGUACAGACUCUACUCGGAGCCCUUUAUAAGGAUCGA